RNAcentral lists this ribosomal RNA (497 nucleotides) under uncultured bacterium. Its description in RNAcentral is "partial 16S ribosomal RNA". It matches the Rfam family "Bacterial small subunit ribosomal RNA", at positions 28 to 507 of the family's 1533-position model. The record is from RNAcentral.
GAUGAACGCUGGCGGCGUGCCUAAUACAUGCAAGUCGAGCGAACGGACGAGAAGCUUGCUUCUCUGAUGUUAGCGGCGGACGGGUGAGUAACACGUGGAUAACCUACCUAUAAGACUGGGAUAACUUCGGGAAACCGUAGCUAAUACCGGAUAAUAUUUUGAACCGCAUGUUUCAAAAGUGAAAGACGGUCUUGCUGUCACUUAUAGAUGGAUCCGCGCUGCAUUAGCUAGUUGGUAGGGUAACGGCUUACCAAGGCAACGAUGCAUAGCCGACCUGAGAGGGUGAUCGGCCACACUGGAACUGAGACACGGUCCAGACUCCUACGGGAGGCAGCAGUAGGGAAUCUUCCGCAAUGGGCGAAAGCCUGACGGAGCAACGCCGCGUGAGUGAUGAAGGUCUUCGGAUCGUAAAACUCUGUUAUUAGGGAAGAACAUAUGUGUAAGUAACUGUGCACAUCUUGACGGUACCUAAUCAGAAAGCCACGGCUAACUACGUG